This 474-nucleotide ribosomal RNA is filed under the name Kumbadjena occidentalis. RNAcentral's name for it is "partial 16S ribosomal RNA". It matches the Rfam family "Bacterial large subunit ribosomal RNA", at positions 1831 to 2600 of the family's 2925-position model. The record is from RNAcentral. Lineage: Eukaryota; Metazoa; Onychophora; Udeonychophora; Euonychophora; Peripatopsidae.
UGCUUUUUGUAAAUAUAAAAAGUAUUACCUGCCCAAUGACAAAUUUAAUGGCUGCAGUAUAUUGACUGUACAAAGGUAGCAUAAUCAUUUGCUUUAUAAAUUAAAGCUUGUAUGAAUGGUAUAAUGAAAAUAUAACUGUCUCUUUUUUAUAAAUAAAAUUUGCUUUUUCAGUGAAGAAGCUGAAUAUAUUUAGAAAGACGAUAAGACCCUAAUGAGUUUUAUAUAUAUAAUAUAUAUAUAAUUAUAUAUAUUUUGUUGGGGUAAUAAAAGAAAAAAUCUUCUUUUAUAUUAAAAAAAUAAUAUUUAUUGAGCCAUUAAUAAUGGAUAAAAGUUUAAAUUACCAUAGGGAUAACAGCAUAAUUCUUUUUAAGAGUACAUAUCGACAAAAGAGAUUGUGACCUCGAUGUUGAAUUAAGAGAAUUGUAUAAUGCAGAAAUUAUAUUAAUAAGUCUGUUCGACUUUUAAAUUCUUACA